RNAcentral lists this ribosomal RNA (349 nucleotides) under Dosinia japonica. RNAcentral describes it as "partial 16S ribosomal RNA". It matches the Rfam family "Bacterial large subunit ribosomal RNA", at positions 1935 to 2541 of the family's 2925-position model. Lineage: Eukaryota; Metazoa; Mollusca; Bivalvia; Venerida; Veneridae. The record is from RNAcentral.
UGCAAUGAGAGUUGUACUAAGGUAGCGUGGUAAUUUGUCUUUUGAUUGGAGAAUGGAAUGAAUGGUUUAAUGUAAAAAAUCUGUCUUUAUAAAAUUUUAUGAAGUUUCCUUUUAAGUGAAAAGGCUUAAUUAUUUGUAAAAGACGAGAAGACCCUGUCGAGUUUAAUUAAAACAUAUAAAAAAUUAUAUUUUAAAAUUUUGUUGGGGCAAUAUUAAUUAAUAAAACAAUUAUAAAAAGUUUUAAUCCUUUUUGAAAGAAAAAAGCAAAAACUACCGCAGGGAUAACAGCGUUAUCUUUUUUAAGAGAUCAUAUUGAGAAAAGGGUUUGCGACCUCGAUGUUGGAUUAUA